UACAGAGGUCUCAAGCGUUGUUCGGAUUCAUUGGGCGUAAAGGGCGCGUAGGCUGCGGGGCAAGUCGGGUGUGAAAUCUCAGAGCUCAACUCUGAAACUGCACUGGAUACUGCUCUGCUAGAGGACUGGAGAGGAGACUGGAAUUCACGGUGUAGCAGUGAAAUGCGUAGAUAUCGUGAGGAAGACCAGUGGCGAAGGCGGGUCUCUGGACAGUUCCUGACGCUGAGGCGCGAAGGCCAGGGGAGCAAACGGG
This 253-nucleotide ribosomal RNA is filed under the name uncultured bacterium. RNAcentral's name for it is "partial 16S ribosomal RNA". It matches the Rfam family "Bacterial small subunit ribosomal RNA", at positions 524 to 776 of the family's 1533-position model. The record is from RNAcentral.